Molecule: ribosomal RNA, 449 nt
Filed under: uncultured bacterium
Lineage: Bacteria
Description: partial 16S ribosomal RNA
Rfam family: Bacterial small subunit ribosomal RNA
Source: RNAcentral
AACGAACGCUGGCGGCAGGCCUAACACAUGCAAGUCGAACGCUGUAGCAAUACAGAGUGGCAGACGGGUGAGUAACGCGUGGGAACCUUCCCAAUGGUACGGAAUAGCUCAGGGAAACUUGAGGUAAUACCGUAUAAGCCCCUAGGGGGAAAGAUUUAUCGCCAUUGGAUGGGCCCGCGUCGGAUUAGCUAGUUGGUGGGGUAAUGGCCUACCAAGGCGACGAUCCGUAGCUGGUUUGAGCGAAUGACCAGCCACAAUGGGACUGAGACACGGCCCAGACUCCUACGGGAGGCAGCAGUGGGGAAUCUUGGACAAUGGGCGCAAGCCUGAUCCAGCCAUGCCGCGUGAGUGACGAAGGCCUUAGGGUUGUAAAGCUCUUUUGCCGGGGACGAUAAUGACGGUACCCGGAGAAUAAGUCCCGGCUAACUUCGUGCCAGCCGCCGCAGUAA